CGGGUGAGUAACGCGUGGAAAACCUGCCGUAUACUGGGGGAUAACACUUAGAAAUAGGUGCUAAUACCGCAUAAGCGCACAGCUUCGCAUGAAGUGGUGUGAAAAACUCUGGUGGUAUACGAUGGUUCCGCGUCUGAUUAGCUUGUUGGCGGGGUAAUGGCUCACCAAGGCGACGAUCAGUAGCCGGCCUGAGAGGGUGAACGGCCACAUUGGGACUGAGACACGGCCCAAACUCCUACGGAAGGCAGCAG
Molecule: ribosomal RNA, 251 nt
Filed under: uncultured bacterium
Lineage: Bacteria
Description: partial 16S ribosomal RNA
Rfam family: Bacterial small subunit ribosomal RNA
Source: RNAcentral